GAUGAACGCUGGCGGCGUGCCUAAUACAUGCAAGUCGAGCGAACAGACGAGGAGCUUGCUCCUCUGACGUUAGCGGCGGACGGGUGAGUAACACGUGGAUAACCUACCUAUAAGACUGGGAUAACUUCGGGAAACCGGAGCUAAUACCGGAUAAUAUAUUGAACCGCAUGGUUCAAUAGUGAAGGACGGUUUUGCUGUCACUUAUAGAUGGAUCCGCGCCGCAUUAGCUAGUUGGUAAGGUAACGGCUUACCAAGGCAACGAUGCGUAGCCGACCUGAGAGGGUGAUCGGCCACACUGGAACUGAGACACGGUCCAGACUCCUACGGGAGGCAGCAGUAGGGAAUCUUCCGCAAUGGGCGAAAGCCUGACGGAGCAACGCCGCGUGAGUGAUGAAGGUCUUCGGAUCGUAAAACUCUGUUAUUAGGGAAGAACAAAUGUGUAAGUAACUGUGCACGUCUUGACGGUACCUAAUCAGAAAGCCACGGCUAACUACGUG
This 497-nucleotide ribosomal RNA is filed under the name uncultured bacterium. Its description in RNAcentral is "partial 16S ribosomal RNA". It matches the Rfam family "Bacterial small subunit ribosomal RNA", at positions 28 to 507 of the family's 1533-position model. The record is from RNAcentral.